Molecule: long non-coding RNA, 2412 nt
Filed under: Homo sapiens (human)
Lineage: Eukaryota; Metazoa; Chordata; Mammalia; Primates; Hominidae
Description: non-protein coding lnc-CHFR-3:2
Source: RNAcentral
AUGGAGAGGAGAGCCUCGUGUAUUUUUUCCUACAGGUUCUUUUUUUACAGUUGACAUUUUUAUCUGCUCGUUUUUGGAAGUACAAGGGAAGUGUGGAAAAGACAAGUGAUUCGGGGCUUUGCAGGCGCCUGGUGUGGCUCCCAGUACGUUGCCCACCGCGCUCUGCUUUUAACGGGAGAGUAGGCGGGUCCUGAGGAGCACGGGGCGUGCGCGCACGUGCUGGCCCUUGCCCUGCUCUGGCGUCGUCUCCUGGGAGCACACGUCAGUGGGGACCUAGUGACCCUGGGGAUGGGGCUCCAAAGCGUGGGGGCUGAGCUGGGGAUGCAGAGUGGCGUGUCCUUGCCCUUCGACUCGUUCUGGUCCCUCUCUAACACUGGGGUGCUGGACAGGAAUGGGGCCCGGCCCUUCCCCUCACACCAAGCAGCUGAGCGACGGUGGAGCUGAGCUGUGAUGGCUGCGGACCCGCGUUGCACCGGCCCUACCUGAGAGGCUUGGGGCCUGCACACAGCUCGGCCCUGUGCUUCCUUGCAGCCAGCCAUACGUCGUGUGCCGGCAGUGUCCUGAGUACAGAAGGCAGGCGGCGCAGCCUCCCCACUGCCCAGCACCCGAGGGCGAGCCAGGAGCCCCACAGGCCCUGGGGGAUGCACCCUCCACGUCCGUCAGCCUGACGACAGUCCAGGAUUACGUGUGCCCUCUGCAAGGAAGCCACGCCCUGUGCACCUGCUGCUUCCAGCCCAUGCCCGACCGGAGAGCGGAGCGCGAGCAGGACCCGCGUGUCGCCCCUCAGCAGUGUGCGGUCUGCCUGCAGCCUUUCUGCCACCUGUACUGGGGCUGCACCCGGACCGGCUGCUACGGCUGCCUGGCCCCGUUUUGUGAAUCUGUAAUGAAAAGAAAUAUGUUUAUCCUCAGUGUCGGGCAGACAGUGCUUUCCUGCGACAUCAUUAUAAACAGAAUUACCUGGCAACCAGAGGUUUGACAUGGAAAAACAUGUUGACCGAGAGCCUCGUGGCUCUCCAGCGGGGAGUGUUUCUGCUGUCUGAUUACAGAGUCACGGGAGACACCGUUCUGUGUUACUGCUGUGGCCUGCGCAGCUUCCGUGAGCUGACCUAUCAGUAUCGGCAGAACAUUCCUGCUUCCGAGUUGCCAGUGGCCGUAACAUCCCGUCCUGACUGCUACUGGGGCCGUAACUGCCGCACUCAGGUGAAAGCUCACCACGCCAUGAAAUUCAAUCAUAUCUGUGAACAGACAAGGUUCAAAAACUAAGCAUCCAGAGGCCCUGAGCAGCUUUCAGCACUGGAGGUGAAGAGAGCGUGUUUUUAAAAUACAGAGACAAGCACGUCAAGGUGUUUUCACAGCCCCCUGAGGGAAGGGACGCAGGGUCUCCGACAGGUGCUCUGGGGUGACUCUUCUGUGGAGCUUUACCCUCUGAGUGAGACCCUCCCCAGAGCCCCGGGGGCCGCAGCCCGCCCUCCUGGUGAGCGCUGGGCAGGGCUCGUGGUGGCAUCAGCAGCAGAGACGAAGCCUUUCUGUAACAUGCGGCCGUCCCGCCGAGAGGGGCAGUUUUGCUCUUUUGUACAUUUUCCGAAACUACAGUUAAAGCAGAAGUCUGUUUUUAGGAAAAGUUUCAAGGGAGAAGGGCAAGUUUAUCAAAAACAUUGUUUCAGGAGAAGGGAGCAUAAGUUUACAGCCUACAGGACGUACACAAUAUCCUGCUGCUGGGAAAACCACAGCAUUUUAUCUAUUUUUUAUUUUAAUAGGUUUGGUGCUUAUCUUCUAAUAAGAUUUAAAUGUCACAAACUGUAGCACAAAUAAUAUAAUUUAUAAUUUACAAAUUGACUAAAAUUGGGUAUAGUAUGGUAUUUGAAAGAAUAAGCAUAUGCUUCUGUUUAUUAAAAAAAGAAACCUUCCAAUGUCCAAAACUGCUAACCCUCGACGUGGCCGCCAAGUUAGUCGCUCCUUGCUAACCGGUGAGUGACCGCGGCCCCGAGCCUGGGGCUGGACGCAGGUCCCAGGACAUGCUGCUCCCUUGUGUGAGUGACCGCGGCCCCGAGCCUGGGGCUGGACGCAGGUCCCAGGACGUGCUGCUCCCUUGUGUGAGUGACCACGGCCCCAAGCCCAGGGCUGGAGGCAGGUCCCAGGACGCGCCGCUCCCUCAUGCUGCCCGGGCCCUUCCUCCAAGACCCUACAGAGCCUGAGGGGCACCUUGGCUUCCGCCUGUGCUAGCUUUGCCAUGUCAUCUGGAAUAAUACUUGAAAUUUUGAUUUUUGGAAAAAAAAGUUUUUUAUCUUUUGUUGAAAUCACCUGUUAUCCUUGUUUGUAAACUGAUAACUUUUUUGCUUCUUCUCAGGAAUACAGUUUUCAACUGUUGUCUUGCUCUUGAUAGAAACUGAGAAGCAGCAAUCUGUAUUUGUG